This 385-nucleotide ribosomal RNA is filed under the name Eukaryota sp. RNAcentral's name for it is "partial small subunit ribosomal RNA". It matches the Rfam family "Eukaryotic small subunit ribosomal RNA", at positions 582 to 975 of the family's 1831-position model. The record is from RNAcentral.
AUUCCAGCUCCAAGAGCGUAUAUUAAAGUUGCUGCGGUUAAAAAGCUCGUAGUUGGAUUUCAGUCUAGGAAGGUUAACUCGCCGAAAGGUUGUGCGUUGAUUUUCCUCAGACUUCGUCAGAAGCUCGUGCUGCACUUAACUGUGUGGUACGAUGUUCUGACCUUUUACCUUGAGGAAAGUAGAGUGUUUCAGGCAGGCUACCCAGCUUGAAUACAUUAGCAUGGAAUAAUGAAAUGGACCUCGGUUCGAUUUCGUUGGUUCUAGAGCUGAGGUGAUGAUCAAUAGGAACAGGCGAAGGUAUUCGUACUUGAGAGUGAGGAGUGAAAUCCGAUGAUCUCUUAAAGACGAUCCGAGGCGAAAGCAUUUGUCAAGGAUGUUUUCAUCA